This 21-nucleotide non-coding RNA is filed under the name Arabidopsis thaliana (thale cress). The record is from RNAcentral. Lineage: Eukaryota; Viridiplantae; Streptophyta; Magnoliopsida; Brassicales; Brassicaceae.
CCUGUUCUGUUGUGUCUUGUU